This is a long non-coding RNA of Oryzias melastigma (Indian medaka), 1726 nucleotides long. RefSeq lists it as uncharacterized. NCBI's taxonomy places the organism in Eukaryota, Metazoa, Chordata, Actinopteri, Beloniformes, Adrianichthyidae. The record is from RefSeq and is a predicted model, not a curated record. The transcript has 2 exons.
CGAUUGGUCUGAGUCAUAGCUGAGUCAUGAAAUCUACAGGAAGUACUGUCGCCAAUCAGGAGUUAGUUUAUUGCAACCGUCCGCCUUUUUCCACGCCUUUACCACGAGACAGCGGAUGUAAACAGUUUCUACUUUAAUCACGGCGGCUCGAGAGAAUUGUACAAGUCUUUGUUCAAGCCUUGAGGGAGAACCAUUCCAACUUUGGAUUCUUCAAACGGUAAUGUUGUAUUUACUUACACAUUUUCUUUUUUGUCGAGCUAAAAGAUGUGUCGCCACACAUAUUCCGAAAACAUAAACAUCUCAGUUAUAAUCAGCUAUUUUGAUAUUGAAACCAGUGACUGUAGACACUGGCCUUUCCGAACGCAUGUCCGCGUUAACUUUCAACUUCUUUUGUUUGCAUUGCGAGCGUGUUUUCUUACACCCGGUAUAACGGCGUUGAGACCAUAGACCGUUUAAUAAGAAUACCUACUACUACAGUCAAUUGUUGAGCCCAAGAGCCAAGGGAAAAAUCGUUUUUUUUAUACAUUUAAAAUAAAAAGACGGGUUAUCAACUUCUUUUUAUAGAGGGGGUGACGCGCCUAGGAGGGCCCAGACUGCAUAAGCAUUGUGUGGAAACGAUUGCCUGUGUUUAAGAUAAACAAUACAUUUCGAAUUAAAUAGAUCUGAUUAAAUGUUUACUUUUUUUCUGUUGCACAUGAAAUAUACUGUUACAUCAAAUGUCCACUUUAAUCUAGCGCGGUUGUUAUUAGUGGCACACACUCACUACUGUGCACAUUUACAAAACAUAAAAAUAAAAAAAUGGGGGUUCAAUCAAUUUUUUUGUAAUGUGUCUUUCUUUUACAUCACAGAUUUGUGAAAAGAUGGCCAGUGAAGCAAAGACAUGCACAGUCUGGAUAAUUGGGGACAGUUAUGUCAGAAGAGGACAUGACUUUGCCUCCAGGACCAUGGGGAAAAACCUUGAGGUUUCCAACGCCAUCAUCAGCUGGUUUGGCUGGGGUGGCCUGAGGUGGAAGGGACUGGUGCCAUUCUUUCUCCAGUGCCUAAGAGGGAGACCAGCCCCAGACGUCCUCCUUAUACACUGCGGCGGGAAUGACCUGGGUGAAGAAAAAAGCAUCAAGCUCGUCACAGUAAUGAAAGAGGAUCUGCACAGACUCCACCAGCAACACGCAUCAAUGAAGAUAAUUUUUUCUGGGUUGACACAGAGGUGCAAGUGGAGGGCUGUUUCUCAUCCUGGGAAGUUGGAGAAGUCUAGAAAAUUUAUUAACAAUGUUAUAUCUGGAUUUAUGCCACCUAUUGUUUCCUUUGUCCACCACCCUUUGAUUAGGCAUGACACUCCAGGUUUAUUUUUAGCAGACAAAGUUCAUUUCACCCCUAAGGGAAAUUACAUAUUUUUAACAACCUUGGCCAAAUCUAUAAAGGACGUACUUAAAUAAAAUUGAACAUUCGUGAAAAUUUAUGUUCUUGAGGUUUUGUUUUGCCAGAUUAUUCGGGAAUAACUCAAAUUUUUAAUGCCUUAUGCAAUCUCUAUCAAAAUACUUUCUAAUAAUGUUUUCUUUUGUAUUCAUUCAUGUCAUUUAUUAUUUUUGGCCUACUUAUCAUGUUCUUCCUUUAUGUUUAUUACAAUUACUUGUACCCCAGACGUGACUUUGCAUAGUGCAUGUGACAGGUUGUUGACAAAAAUGACUAAAUGACACAAAAUAACAAAUAAACCUUGUUUUUUCUGAAA